CAAAGUGCUGGGAUUACAGGUGGGAGCCACCGCGUCCAGCCUAAGCCUUUUCAAUCAAUAGCUCAAUGCCCUCUCGUGUCAAUAUGCAGAACAAGGAACUGAAUCUAUACUAGACUUUAUUACAGCACAGUGUCCAUUAUCUUUACUUUCUCCCACUAUAAUACCCCAGUCUUGCCCGUAAAGAUGAGAAGGGAAGUUUGACUUUGAUGAGCACCAAAGUUACCAAUUUUACAAAAUCUAAUAGCCAUAAUUCUUGUAGUUCCUCACCACCCUACAGUUCCCACUAUUUUUACCCUAGUUCCUGUGUCUGCAGCCUGGUUUGCAUGAAUGGACCUCUGCUCAGCUGUCUUUUCCAUUCCUUUGCGUCCUGAUUCACAGUUCCUCUUUGCACUUCUGUUUAGAGGAGGACAGUGGGUAUGGCCUGCACACCUCAGGAAUAUUGCUGGUACCCCAUCCAUAUUUUCCCAAGUCCUUAAGGCCUACUCAGACUUUGUAACAUUUAUCCAAGGCUCUACUCGUGUUCAGUAUACUGAUGAUGCCUUUGUAGCCAAACUAAGCAAGGUGGUCUUAUGGAUUUCCUCAUUCUCCUAGAGACACUAGCUGAAUUAAGCCAUAAAGUCUCCCAAUCUAAAUUUCAGUGGGUGUAGAUAGCUAUUACUUAGGAUGCGAGGUAUCUCAGGGCACCCAAAGCUCACCCAGAACACCUUGAAUCAAUUUUAUCCAUCGCUCUCCGCAAAAUAAAAGCAGGCGUGAGCCACUGCACCUUGCCUCUUUAUGCACUCUUAACCUGUCUCUUCUCAUUCCUUCGUCACCACUGGACUUUGGGUACCCUACGGGUGAUGUUAAGGCUGGUCCCCAACAAUUGUUAUUUGUGGAAACUUUCCAGUACCCACGUAUAGCCAGCAGCCCCUUUAAGGGAACAUAACUCUCCCUGGCUGGCCAACAAAUAGCCCGGAGCCAAGCAGUCAUCAGCUGUCGAGUCUGCCAGGGAGCGUUGUCCUUCACGGAAAGCAUCUAAAGCAUUAGCUCUCUGCUGCGUGUGGUUAGAGUGUGCUGAACGUUUUCCGAUGGCUUCAUGGUUUGAGUUGACAGGAUGACAUCAUGUGUGCCUAAGGCAGUGCCCGUGGUGGCCCAAAAAGUAUGUGCAAUGAGCAGAAAAUUAGCACACUUGUCUCAAGAGGAGGUUUGGGAGUGGGUGUGAGAUGGAGCAGGGACUCCCUCUUCACGGCCUGUGGAUCUCCCAGGCAUAGAAAUAAAGAACAAUCUUGCUUUUCUUCAAGGUAAAUUUCAGUCACCUAGUUAGCCCCAAGAAGUAAAUAUGCAACUUGAUAAGCAAGAAGGUAACGGUAGCCUAAAACAAUAGCCAAGGAAGCUAGAAGCAUCGGAUGUGUAGUUCUCCUGUAGAAACUAAAGAUGGUGGCCGG
RNAcentral lists this long non-coding RNA (1424 nucleotides) under Homo sapiens (human). Its description in RNAcentral is "novel transcript". The record is from RNAcentral. Lineage: Eukaryota; Metazoa; Chordata; Mammalia; Primates; Hominidae.